UGGGGUGUUACAGCCCUGGUCACAUUUUAAAUGAGUGUGUGAGUAUGUCUCUACUGUGUUCUGUGCCUUUAAGAGUCUCUACAGGUCCUCCUUCUGAUUGGGGAGCUGUUUUGGGCUGUUUUUGAUGGUAAGUAGUCUUGUCCACCCCUUCUGAAGAAGAAGGUAUUUAUUUUUUGUAUGUUUUGUCUUGUUAAUUAAAUUAGGGAGGUGUAGUUAGUGAUGGUGUGAUGAAGCCCCAUGAAUGUGUCGAAUCUUCCCGGUUAAUUACUUCAUUAAAAGGCAGAUCACACAAAGCUCAGUUAAACAGCUCGUUUGGAAGUACUGACAUCUGCUGGUCAUUCGAUAUACAGCAGCCAAAUGUGGGCUAAAUACCAGUGGAUAUGUAACCAUGUUGUCAGUAGCAGAUGAGGUCCUGGAUAUAUAUAAAUAUACAUACACACCCCUAACUACCAGACUGAAUUAAGAUUUGUGAUAGUGUUUCAAAAUGCUCCUUAACUCCUGAUACUAUUUGGUGGCUCCAUAAUGUGUUUACAAUCUGGUCGUUACAAUCCUCAGAAUCACCUCAGAUCCAGUUCACAUUAACCAUUAACUUGUUGAUCUUUGGUCACGUGAUAUUCUGAAGGCUGAUGCGGGCCUGGACACGAGCUUCAUUUGCACUCGACACAGGCCUCGGGUCUUCAGUGUCAGACGUAACAUCACAAGGUGUAGUGCUUGUCUUUUGGUUUUUGUUUCACGCAGGGCUUAGGUAGCAUUUCUUUGGAAUACCUUCUUUUGUUUUGUUUUUUUUGUUUGUUUGUUUGUUUUUUCUUUACCUUUGCUCACCCUUGAUUUUAUGCUUUCAGUUUUGGUGGGGACACCCUUGCUUACCAUUGUGUUGCCCUCCUUUGCCCCUAGACAAGGACAUGUCAUGGGGGAAAGAAAUCAUACUGAUGACAUCAAAGUCUCACAAACUCUCAAAAAACUGUAUGUAUCAAAUAUGAUACACUCAGUGUUAAGGAGUUAAGCAUUUUACAUUGAGUCAAGCUAGUGAUUUCUCAUAGAUGGUAAUCUGAAAGCGCUGUCUGAGCCUGCACCUGGGUCUGGUCCUGUUUUCUUGAACCAGACAUGGUCCGAGCCUCUCUGUCAGAGUUUGUAUUACUAGAACCCUUUUCCAGACAAGUGAAAAAAAACAACAACACUUUUGUCCUACAGGAUUAAUAAUAAUGUUUAGUAAUGUUUUGCCCACCAGGGUAGUGAGUUAGUCAUGACUGCAGCCACGAGAUGGCAGUAAUGUAAAGAAUGGAAACAGUCGAGGAGCUUUAUGACGGCACUGACUGAGAAGAAAGGAGAGAGAACACUUUACUUUAAAUGUUUGAAUUUAUCUCUAUUAUUAGAUUUGAUGAGACAAGCACUGCUUUCACUGUUCAUCCUAACAGAAUGCCACUGGAUAAAGGUAUGUUUCUAUUAGUUUUCAUACAGUCACGGACAUUAAGCAUUACCCUUCA
Molecule: long non-coding RNA, 1484 nt
Organism: Astatotilapia calliptera (eastern happy)
Lineage: Eukaryota; Metazoa; Chordata; Actinopteri; Cichliformes; Cichlidae
Source: Ensembl